GAUGAACGCUGGCGGCGUGCCUAAUACAUGCAAGUCGAGCGAACAGACGAGGAGCUUGCUCCUCUGACGUUAGCGGCGGACGGGUGGGUAACACGUGGAUAACCUACCUAUAAGACUGGGAUAACUUCGGGAAACCGGAGCUAAUACCGGAUAAUAUAUUGAACCGCAUGGUUCAAUAGUGAAAGACGGUUUUGCUGUCACUUCUAGAUGGAUCCGCGCCGCAUUAGCUAGUUGGUAAGGUAACGGCUUACCAAGGCGACGAUGCGUAGCCGACCUGAGAGGGUGAUCGGCCACACUGGAACUGAGACACGGUCCAGACUCCUACGGGAGGCAGCAGUAGGGAAUCUUCCGCAAUGGGCGAAAGCCUGACGGAGCAACGCCGCGUGAGUGAUGAAGGUCUUCGGAUCGUAAAACUCUGUUAUUAGGGAAGAACAAAUGUGUAAGUAACUAUGCACGUCUUGACGGUACCUAAUCAGAAAGCCACGGCUAACUACGUG
This 497-nucleotide ribosomal RNA is filed under the name uncultured bacterium. RNAcentral's name for it is "partial 16S ribosomal RNA". It matches the Rfam family "Bacterial small subunit ribosomal RNA", at positions 28 to 507 of the family's 1533-position model. The record is from RNAcentral.